AAAACCAAUGCCCUCUGGGCUCCCUGGUGAUUCAUGAUAACUGCUCGAAUCGCAUGGCCUUGCGCCGGCGAUGGUUCAUUCAAAUUUCUUCCCUAUCAACUUUCGAUGUUUGGGUAGUGGCCAAACAUGGUUGCAACGGGUAACGGAGGGUUAGGGCUCGACCCCGGAGAAGGAGCCUGAGAAACGGCUACUACAUCCAAGGAAGGCAGCAGGCGCGCAAAUUACCCAAUCCCGACACGGGGAGGUAGUGACAAUAAAUACUGAUACAGGGCUCUUUUGGGUCUUGUAAUUGGAAUGAGUACAAUUUAAAUCCCUUAACGAGGAACAAUUGGAGGGCAAGUCUGGUGCCAGCAGCCGCGGUAAUUCCAGCUCCAAUAGCGUAUAUUAAAGUUGUUGUGGUUAAAAAGCUCGUAGUUGAACCUUGGGCCUGGCUGGCCGGUCCGCCUCACCGCGUGCACUGGUCCGGCCGGGCCUUUCCCUCUGUGGAACCCCAUGCCCUUCACUGGGCGUGGCGGGGAAACAGGACCUUUACUUUGAAAAAAUUAGAGUGCUCCAGGCAGGCCUAUGCUCGAAUACAUUAGCAUGGAAUAAUGAAAUAGGACGUGCGGUUCUAUUUUGUUGGUUUCUAGGACCGCCGUAAUGAUUAAUAGGGACAGUCGGGGGCAUCAGUAUUCAAUUGUCAGAGGUGAAAUUCUUGGAUUUAUUGAAGACUAACUACUGCGAAAGCAUUUGCCAAGGAUGUUUUCAUUAAUCAGGAACGAAAGU
RNAcentral lists this ribosomal RNA (765 nucleotides) under Purpureocillium atypicola. RNAcentral describes it as "SSU rRNA". It matches the Rfam family "Eukaryotic small subunit ribosomal RNA", at positions 218 to 990 of the family's 1831-position model. Lineage: Eukaryota; Fungi; Ascomycota; Sordariomycetes; Hypocreales; Ophiocordycipitaceae. The record is from RNAcentral. RNAcentral also lists the same sequence under 1 other name.